Molecule: ribosomal RNA, 252 nt
Filed under: uncultured prokaryote
Description: partial 16S ribosomal RNA
Rfam family: Bacterial small subunit ribosomal RNA
Source: RNAcentral
UACGGAGGAUGCGAGCGUUAUCCGGAUUUAUUGGGUUUAAAGGGUGCGUAGGCGGCCGAGUAAGUCAGCGGUGAAAUUUUGCAGCUUAACUGUAACAGUGCCGUUGAUACUGCAUGGCUAGGAUUUGGUUUGCUGUGGGUGGAAUGUGUGGUGUAGCGGUGAAAUGCUUAGAGAUCACACAGAAUAUCGAUUGCGAAGGCAGCUCACAAAGCCAAGAUUGACGCUGAGGCACGAAAGUAGUGGGGAGUCAAA